ACUCACCAGGUCCAGACAAAAUAAGGAUUGACAGAUUGAGAGCUCUUUCUUGAUCUUUUGGAUGGUGGUGCAUGGCCGUUCUUAGUUGGUGGAGUGAUUUGUCUGCUUAAUUGCGAUAACGAACGAGACCUCGGCCCUUAAAUAGCCCGGUCCGCAUUUGCGGGCCGCUGGCUUCUUAGGGGGACUAUCGGCUCAAGCCGAUGGAAGUGCGCGGCAAUAACAGGUCUGUGAUGCCCUUAGAUGUCC
RNAcentral lists this ribosomal RNA (246 nucleotides) under Torymus sinensis. RNAcentral describes it as "partial small subunit ribosomal RNA". It matches the Rfam family "Eukaryotic small subunit ribosomal RNA", at positions 1213 to 1482 of the family's 1831-position model. Lineage: Eukaryota; Metazoa; Arthropoda; Insecta; Hymenoptera; Torymidae. The record is from RNAcentral.